AUGCAAGAGUUGAUCCUCCUCCUGCUUCCCAUGACGCUCCUCGUCGUCAUCGGCAGCCUGCUCCGGCGUGCACCGCCGAUCAAGGAAAUGCGAACCCGCCUUGCCGCCGUCAAGUGGGGUCUCGUACGUGACUUCUCCGCUGCCUUGCGGCAGGAGGUCGUCGUCACGGACCGUGUCACCGCGCACCACCUCCUCGUCCGCGGCGGUGCCGGGGGCGCGUUCUGCAACCGUCCCCCGACGAGCGCGGCCAGCGCCGUCCUCUCCGGCCAGCGCCACCACAACAUAACCUCUGCGCCCUACGGCUCGCUCUGGCGUGCCACCCGCCGCAACCUCGUCUCCGAGGUCUUCCACCCGUCGUGCCUUCGCCUCUACGCCCCAGCCCGCCGCGCCGCGCUCUGCGGCCUCGUCGCGGACCUUCGUGAACAGUGCACGUCUAAGUCUAACGACGGCGUGGCCCUCGCGGCCGAGAGCAUGCACGCUGCUAUGUUCGGCCUGAACGCCACCAUGUGCUUCGGCGAUGGCGUCGACGCAGGCCUCGUCCGCGCCAUGGCCGACAACACGGAGGAGCUCAUCUGGUCCCUCGUUGGUGUGCGUGUCUUCGCCGCGCUCCCGGCGUUGACCAGGCUAAUCUACCGCGAACGGUGGAACAAGCUGGCCGCGCUCAGGCGGCAGCAGGAGGAGCUGUACCUCCCGCUCAUCAAUGCCCGACGCGGCAGGCGGCGUCGACCGUCCGGCGAAGCCCCAGCAUAUGUGGACACACUCAUCGAGCUCCUGGUCGCAGACGAAAGGAACUCCGCCUACGGUGGGAAUGCUUCCAGUCGCAAGCAAACGCUAACGGACGGUGAGCUUGUGGGGCUCUGCUCCGAGUUUCUUGGCGCCGGCACGGAGCCCCCGACCGCGGAGCUGCAGUGGAUCAUGGCGAACUUGGUGAAGCAUCUGGACGUCCAGGAGGCCGUCCGGACAGAGAUCGAGGCUGUGGUCGGGGUGGACGCCGAGGAGGUCGGCGAGGAAGACCUUGGUAGGCUGGAGUACCUCAAUGCUGUGCUCAUGGAGGCGCUCCGUCUGCACCCCAGCGUGCCCUCUGUGGUUAGGCAGGUGAUGCCCGAGGACCACGUUGUUCUGGAUGGCCGGCGCGUCACGACAGGGACGAUCGUGCAGUUCCAGUUGGAGUGUCUGGGGCGGGACAAGACGUCGUGGGCCGACCCAGAUGAGUUUCAGCCGGAGCGGUUCCUGGCUAGCGGCGGGGGCAAUGUCGUGAGCCUUGUGGCAGCUGCAGGAAGCGCCGGAGAAAUUAGGAUGAUGCCGUUUGGUGCGGGCAGGAGGAUGUGCCCUGGCAUGGGUGUCGCGAUGCUUCAGUUGGGGUACUUCGUUGCAAACCUCGUGAGGGAGUUUGAGUGGACGGAGGCGGAAGGCGACAUGGCUGUCGACCUCGAGCCACAUGUCGAGUUCUUGAACUUCAUGAGACGGCCGCUGCGUGCUAAGCUCACGCCACUGAAUAAGGGGGUUGGAGGUUCAGGAGCCUUUUCAGACCAAUGA
Molecule: ribosomal RNA, 1536 nt
Filed under: Triticum aestivum (bread wheat)
Lineage: Eukaryota; Viridiplantae; Streptophyta; Magnoliopsida; Poales; Poaceae
Description: partial small subunit ribosomal RNA
Source: RNAcentral